GGGCCCGUAGCUCAGCAUGGAUAGAGCGGCGGCCUUCUAAGCCGUAGGUCGUGGGUUCGAAUCCCACCGGGCCCG
This 75-nucleotide transfer RNA is filed under the name Thermoproteus tenax Kra 1. RNAcentral's name for it is "tRNA-Arg (TCT) (tRNA-Arg-TCT-1-1)". It matches the Rfam family "tRNA". Rfam says of the family: Transfer RNA (tRNA) molecules are approximately 80 nucleotides in length. Their secondary structure includes four short double-helical elements and three loops (D, anti-codon, and T loops). Further hydrogen bonds mediate the characteristic L-shaped molecular structure. tRNAs have two regions of fundamental functional importance: the anti-codon, which is responsible for specific mRNA codon recognition, and the 3' end, to which the tRNAs corresponding amino acid is attached (by aminoacyl-tRNA synthetases). tRNAs cope with the degeneracy of the genetic code in two manners: having more than one tRNA (with a specific anti-codon) for a particular amino acid; and 'wobble' base-pairing, i.e. permitting non-standard base-pairing at the 3rd anti-codon position. Lineage: Archaea; Thermoproteati; Thermoproteota; Thermoprotei; Thermoproteales; Thermoproteaceae. The record is from RNAcentral.